Long non-coding RNA from Tribolium madens (black flour beetle), 1684 nucleotides. RefSeq lists it as uncharacterized. NCBI's taxonomy places the organism in Eukaryota, Metazoa, Arthropoda, Insecta, Coleoptera, Tenebrionidae. The transcript has 3 exons. The record is from RefSeq and is a predicted model, not a curated record.
UUAAUAUUGGAGCUGUAUGGGGUACCAUGGCAACUGGAUCAACAUAUAGCCAUAUGACCAAAUUUUUAAGCUGCAUGAAUAUUCCCACGAUGCCACAUAAAAUGUUUUAUAACAUAGAAGAAGAAUUGGGAAAGCAAUGGGAAGAAUCGCUAUGGAAGUCUCGGCUGGUUGUAAAGAGAAACAAUAUGCUUUGGAAGUAGGCCAUUGCCUACUAACUGAAGAUGGAUUACCGUAUAUUUAGACGGUUCUUGGAGCAAACGCUCUUAUGGUACUAACUACAAUGCUCUGUCUGGUAUGCUUAAAGUUGUAGGUAAAUAUACUGGAGAGUUACUUUUUGUGGGAGUGCGUAAUAAAUUUUGCUCUGUGUGCGCAUAUGCCCGUGGUAAAAUUUCAGUUCCCAAAGAACAUGUUUGCUAUAAAAAUUAGAAUGACUCUGCACCAGCUAUGGAAGCUGAUAUGGCAGUAGAAGCAUUCUCUGCCAGUGCCAGUACACGGAGUUCGUUACCUAAAAUUUAUUGCUGAUGGAGACUCUAGUGUUUUUGCUAAAUUGAGACAAAAAGUGCCCUAUAGUAAAGACAUUCGAAAAUCUGAAUGUACAAAUCACGCGUUGAAAAAUUAUGGUAAACGACUGUUCGCCAUUAAAAAAGACAAAUACAUUAACCUUACUGGACGAAAAAUGUUAACCAAGGGCAAAAUAAUUCUUCUCUAGAAACGUGCCAAAUGUACUAUUUAUGAACAUUCGAACGGUGACAGAGACAGAGACAUCAAUCUCCUUCGCAAGGAUCUUGAAUAUGGUUUACACCACGUUUUUGGAGACCACAGUCGUUGCCUCGAGGGCAUUUGUAACUCUGUUGGCGACCAAUAUAACAAUCUGAUUCCCACAUUGAAAGCGACUAACUUAUUUUUUCAUUUAAGCGGUUCCAUAGAUCUUUUGAUUCGCAAGGCUCAUCUAUUGAUUGAGAAUGAGAAUAAUAAUAGAAGCGAAAGACUGGUGAAUAUAGUAUCGUUUCAAUAUGGGAAAAAAUAAGAUUAAAUUUGAUUCAACGUGGUUCCUAUCAGAGAAGGGUUCAUCUUUCGGGUUUAAGGUACAAUCGAAGUUUUGAGUGGCCAACUAGUCCUUGGAAAAGAGUAACAAAAACAAGUCCAGGUAGAUAUACUACGAAAUUUGUAAGUGUGGGCUUUUCAUGUUACCUAUUAAGGAAAGUAUUAUAAAAAUGUAUGUCUAGUUCUUCGAAAAAAAAUAGAAAGUCGAGUUGUCACAGAAAACUUUUUUCUUCGACCAAACAACGAUCUCCCCAUAAUAAUUUGGAUUAUGAACCAAAGGCUGAAGACAUAGAACUGUUAUUUCGAUGGAGUGUGACAGAUUACUAAAUAAAUUGAAGGUAUCGGCAAUUGAAAGAGAUCGAAUACAAAUAAAUUCGGUGGGUCAAUUUGAUAACAGUCCACACGAGACAGAAAGAAGAUAUCGUCUAACAGCCUCGCUAUUUGGAAAAGUUAUAAAUCGAUUGCCUCAUACUCCAUGUCAUUCUCUUGCAAAAAUUAUACUGGAAAAGCAGUCUUUCUCUUCAUCUUCAACAGACUAUGGUAUUGCUAAAGAGGCAGUAGCUCUUCGUUUGUUCGAAUUAAAAACUAGCUUGAAAGUUACUUCGUCUGGAUUGUGGGUCGACUUAGAUAAUGGUUUUUU